GAUGAACGCUGGCGGCGUGCUUAACACAUGCAAGUCGAACGGAAAGGCCCUGCUUUUGUGGGGUGCUCGAGUGGCGAACGGGUGAGUAACACGUGAGUAACCUGCCCUUGACUUUGGGAUAACUUCAGGAAACUGGGGCUAAUACCGGAUAGGAGCUCUUGCUGCAUGGUGGGGGUUGGAAAGUUUCGGCGGUUGGGGAUGGACUCGCGGCUUAUCAGCUUGUUGGUGGGGUAGUGGCUUACCAAGGCUUUGACGGGUAGCCGGCCUGAGAGGGUGACCGGCCACAUUGGGACUGAGAUACGGCCCAGACUCCUACGGGAGGCAGCAGUGGGGAAUAUUGCACAAUGGGCGGAAGCCUGAUGCAGCAACGCCGCGUGCGGGAUGACGGCCUUCGGGUUGUAAACCGCUUUCGCCUGUGACGAAGCGUGAGUGACGGUAAUGGGUAAAGAAGCACCGGCUAACUACGUG
This 468-nucleotide ribosomal RNA is filed under the name uncultured bacterium. RNAcentral describes it as "partial 16S ribosomal RNA". It matches the Rfam family "Bacterial small subunit ribosomal RNA", at positions 28 to 507 of the family's 1533-position model. The record is from RNAcentral.